Long non-coding RNA from Myxocyprinus asiaticus (Chinese sucker), 334 nucleotides. RefSeq lists it as uncharacterized. The record is from RefSeq and is a predicted model, not a curated record. Lineage: Eukaryota; Metazoa; Chordata; Actinopteri; Cypriniformes; Catostomidae. The transcript has 3 exons.
CAUUUGUCAUCAUUGAGCUUCAGUCCAGCAUUGGAAAGGAUUUUCAGGAUUCUCUGCAUGCUGGAAAUACUGAAGGGAAGCCUAUGGAAGAAAUACCUCCCAAACGGUGUGAUAAAUUGCAGCACAACCAAUGCUGGGUUUUCAAGUCGGUUACUCCUGAAAGAUGGUGCAGUUCCCACUUUGUUGGGACAGUCUGGCGCUUCAGCAUCACAACCUGUAAGUAUGUUUGAUUAUUUGUGGAUUUAUCUGCUACUGAGAGUUCAAAUGCAGAGUUUUGUGUUGUAGCUACGGUAUACACCCAGUGCACAGCUAUAGGCCUCUGCUAACAUGCUAG